Molecule: long non-coding RNA, 683 nt
Filed under: Homo sapiens (human)
Lineage: Eukaryota; Metazoa; Chordata; Mammalia; Primates; Hominidae
Description: HSALNT0098399
Source: RNAcentral
CAGAUUCCAAAAACUCACUCUGAACUUGGAGACCAGAAUCCUACCUGCUGGAGCAAAUUGCAUCUCGAGUUUUGAGAAUCAGCACCCUUAUUAAGCAGAGAAUGACUGAAAGAUCAUUGAGGAUCACAUAUCAAAGGCACUUUAUUUGAAAUUUUCAAAGAAUCAACAGAAAAUAUUUUUAUCUACUUUAAAUGAAUGACAGAAAAGAACACAGAGACCCAUGAAUUCAAUGAAAAAGACAUAUUAUUCAUGAAUAAUGAACGACUGCUGUAGCCCAGAGAAAUGAUGCUCUAACUCCAAUGGAUGAUAUUUUUUAAAGACCCAAAUCAUACUUCUAAAGAUGAAAAAUAUAAUCACUAAGGUGAAAAAACAGUGGAUGAGAUGAAUGGCAAAUUAGACAUUGCAGAAGGAAAGAUCAGUGAACUUGAAGACAGCGAUAUAUAUUAUCCAAAAUAAAACAGAGAACAAAAUAAUUUUCAAAAACAGUUAUCAGUGAGCUGUGUGACAGCAUCAGACAGCCUAAUAUAUGUGCAAAUGGAAAGAGGGAGCAAGGGGUACAGAAAAAUAGUAAUUGUUCAGAUUUUUAUGAAACAUACAAAUUCAGCUGGGCGCGGUGGCACAUGCCUGUAAUCCCAGCACUUUGGGAGGCCAAGGCGGGCGGAUCAUGAGGUCAGGAGUUCAAG